Xiphophorus couchianus (Monterrey platyfish) is the source of this 662-nucleotide long non-coding RNA. RefSeq lists it as uncharacterized. Lineage: Eukaryota; Metazoa; Chordata; Actinopteri; Cyprinodontiformes; Poeciliidae. The transcript is spliced from 2 exons. The record is from RefSeq and is a predicted model, not a curated record.
GGUUAUCGUUCAACAGAAACCUCUGCAUCCUUUACCUGUUAGAUAGCUAUAAAACCAUCGCUGUGAAGACGUACAACUUGCUCUGUUUUACCCUGUGUCUGGAACAGAAUAAUCUAGUGUGUAGAUACCAUGUGUUUUGUUAGUGACUAGCAUUUGCGUUGCAAUUAUGUGAUUGAAGUGUUUUCCCUACUCCUUUGAGACUCUCUCUGUAACAGGGAUCCUAACAGCAAUAAAAAGGGAGAACGGACACAUAUGUUUUCAGAACGGAAGAGAUGUGUGACUGAAAACAUAUCUCUGGCUGUUCUCCUCACUGUCAGGAUCUGCGGCUUCGGCAGUUCCUCUGGUUUCCUUCUAGGUGGCGUUCGAGAGCUUGCUGGCGUAUUCACACACCCUCUCCACAGGUGUGUUUCGGCACACCUGUGGAUCAUCAGCGGGAGCAUAUUAGGAGCGGGUUCCCGGCACUUUGUCGCCAGAGUGUUGUCGCCUUUGUGGCUCCUGUUGUCUGGACACUCCAUGCGAAGUACGAGAUUUGCAGUUCCAUCCGCGGAGCUCCCUGACGAGUUACGCCCACCUACCAGCUGUUCGAUCACACCGGUCCGCUCCUGAUCAGACGCUCCUGCAUUACACACCAAUUAUCUUUUGUAAAUAAAUCUUUAAUCUGA